Molecule: long non-coding RNA, 270 nt
Filed under: Gallus gallus (chicken)
Lineage: Eukaryota; Metazoa; Chordata; Aves; Galliformes; Phasianidae
Description: long non-coding RNA NONGGAT001543
Source: RNAcentral
AACAGCGCGGGAAGCCGCGGCCCAAUCGACCACCGCCGCCCCUCACGGGGGAGAAACGCGGCCCCGCGCCGACCGCCCGCCCACCGGGGGGUGGUCCGAGGUCCCGAGGCGACCGACCGCCCCUCAAGGAGCGCCGCGGCCCUCACAGCGACCGUCCUUCGCGGGGGAGCGAGCAGGAGUGCUGUCUGCUCAAAGCCAUUUGUAUCCUUGGGAAGCAUCAGUGCAAGAAAACAAGCUGGAGUCUGUCAGUUCUCAAUGGAGAGCCUUGGA